CACGUAGGCACCAAGCGUUGUCCGGAUUUAUUGGGCGUAAAGAGCUCGUAGGCGGUUCGGUAAGUCGGGUGUGAAAACUCUGGGCUCAACCCAGAGCCGCCACCCGAUACUGCUGUGACUCGAGUGCGGUAGGGGAGCGGGGAAUUCCUGGUGUAGCGGUGAAAUGCGCAGAUAUCAGGAGGAACACCAGUGGCGAAGGCGGCAUCCUGGACCGGCAUUGACGCUGAGGCGCGAAAGCCAGGGGAGCAAACGGG
Molecule: ribosomal RNA, 254 nt
Filed under: uncultured bacterium
Lineage: Bacteria
Description: partial 16S ribosomal RNA
Rfam family: Bacterial small subunit ribosomal RNA
Source: RNAcentral